UACGAAGGGGGCUAGCGUUGUUCGGAAUUACUGGGCGUAAAGGGCUCGUAGGUGGCCAACUAAGUCAGACGUGAAAUCCCUCGGCUUAACCGGGGAACUGCGUCUGAUACUGGAUGGCUUGAGUUCGGGAGAGGGAUGCGGAAUUCCAGGUGUAGCGGUGAAAUGCGUAGAUAUCUGGAGGAACACCGGUGGCGAAGGCGGCAUCCUGGACCGACACUGACACUGAGGAGCGAAAGCCAGGGGAGCAAACGGG
Molecule: ribosomal RNA, 253 nt
Filed under: uncultured bacterium
Lineage: Bacteria
Description: partial 16S ribosomal RNA
Rfam family: Bacterial small subunit ribosomal RNA
Source: RNAcentral